Parus major (Great Tit) is the source of this 3696-nucleotide RNA transcript. It is a transcript of the gene named F-box and leucine rich repeat protein 5, with no coding region annotated. The record is from RefSeq and is a predicted model, not a curated record. The transcript has 12 exons. NCBI's taxonomy places the organism in Eukaryota, Metazoa, Chordata, Aves, Passeriformes, Paridae.
CGGUGCGGAUGCUCGCGCCGCCGUUCGCGCCGCCGGGAGCGGCGCGGCUCCAUGGGGAGAACAUGGCUCCCUUCCCCGAGGAGGUGGACGUGUUCUCCGCCCCGCACUGGCGAAUGAAGCAGCUCGUGGGGCUCUACUGCGACAAGCUUUCCAAGACCAACUUCUCCAACAACAAUGAUUUUCGGGCUCUGCUGCAAUCUCUUUAUGCCACAUUCAAGGAAUUUAAAAUGCACGAGCAGAUUGAAAAUGAGUGCAUCAUUGGUUUGCUUCAGCAGCGUAGCCGGACAGUGUACAAUGUGCACUCAGACAACAAGCUCUCAGAGAUGCUUAGCCUUUUUGAGAAAGGGCUAAAGAAUGUAAAGAAUGAAUAUGAACAGCUAAACUAUGCGAAACAGCUGAAGGAGAGAUUGGAAGCCUUUACCAGGGAUUUCCUUCCUCAUAUGAAGGAGGAAGAGGAGGUUUUUCAGCCAAUGUUGAUGGAAUACUUUACUUAUGAAGAGCUGAAAGAUAUUAAGAAGAAAGUAAUUGCACAACACUGCUCACAGAAAGAGGCUGCAGAAUUCAGAGGUCUCAGUAAGUGGAAUCAGGCAGAAGAGCUUCAGAAGGUCUUUAAGUACUCUGUGGAUGAGAAGGCAGAUCAAGAAACCGAAGUAACAGGGCACACCACAAAUAUUACUAGUCUCCCUCCUGAAGUAAUGGUGACCAUUUUCAGUUACCUUAACCCCCAAGAGUUAUGUCAGUGUAGUCAAGUAAGCACUGAAUGGUCACAAUUGGCUAAAACUGGAUCUCUGUGGAAACAUCUUUACCCUGUUCGCUGGGCAAGAGGUGAUUGGUAUAGUGGUCCUGCAGCAGAUACUGAGACUGAACCUGAUGAGGAAUGGGUGAAAAAUAGAAAAGAUGAAAGUCGUGCUUUCCAGGAAUGGGAUGAAGAUGCUGACAUAGAUGAAUCUGAAGAAGCAGCUGAAGAUUCACUUGCCAUUAAUAUAGCACAAAUGGAAAAACGUUUACUUCAUGGCCUAAUUCAUCAUGUCCUCCCACUUGUGGGCUCCUCAGUGAAGACACUGGUAUUGGCCUACAGUUCUGCAGUGUCCAGCAAAAUGGUUAGGCAGAUCUUAGAGCUUUGCCCCAACUUGGAAUAUUUGGAUCUCACUCAAACUGAUAUUUCAGACUCUGUGUUUGAAAGUUGGUGUUCAGUUGGAUAUUGUCAAAAUCUACGCCACCUUGAUCUGUCUGGAUGUGAAAAAAUUACAGAUGUGGCUAUAGAGAGGAUUUCCAGAGCACUGGGUAUCAUAUCAACUCAUCAUACCAGAGGUGUUCUGAAAAGCUGCAGGAACAGGAACCCUAAGACUUUGUGGAAAAACAGAGAGAUUACUCUGCAGUCCAACCAGAAAUAUAAUGGUUUGCAUGAAAUCAGCAAUGAAAAUCUCAUUCAGGGAGGAAAUGGUGAGCAGCACUGGACUAAACCUGACGGCUCAGAAAACUUCAGUUCUUAUGUGUGGAUGCUAGAUGCAGAUGAUUUAGCUGACAUUGAAGAUGCUGCAGAGUGGAGACACAGAAAUGUUGAAGGAUUUUGUCUUAUGGAACCAACAUCCCAUAUUAAUUGUUCUGCAUUGUGCUACAGUAGAGACAUUUAUGGGUUAAGGACUAGAGGGUGGCAGCAGCACUGUGCUUCUACUGACUUGAUUUACUGCGGUCACUCGUUUUGUUGUGCUGGGACAGCACUAAGAACUAUUCAAGCACUUCCAGAGUCCUCUGCACUGUGUAAGAAACCAAUAAGGACUAAGCAGUCAGAGAAAAAAGACUCUGCAUACUCUGGGAGUGAAAAAACAGAUGAAGAGACGGCACGAGUUCUUCAGUUUCUCAGUCUGUCAGGCUGUUACCAGAUAACAGACCGUGCUCUCAGGGCGUUGACUCUGGGAGGAGGACUGCCGCAUUUGGAACACCUGAACCUCUCGGGGUGUCUCACUGUAACUGGUGCAGGCCUGCAGGAGUUGGUUUCUGCAUGCCCCUCUCUAAAAGAUGAACACUUUUACUACUGUGACAACAUUAACGCAGCAGCCAAAAAAGCCACCAAUAUUACCAUCGUCAGGGUGGUGAAAACAAGAUAGAGGGUGCUGUGCAUGGUCCUGGAAGCCUUGGGGCACUCACAUGUGGAGCACUGCAUGCGGGUUUGGUGUCCCCAUCCUGAGGAGAGUGUACACUGGAGUUACUGAAGAUACAGAAGAGGCCUUCUAAAAAGUUAGGGAACUGAACACUCAAAAGGCUGGAUGUUUCAGUGAGAUGGCUGAAAAGAGGGGCAUGACUGUUUACAGAACUGGGAAAGCAGUAGAUGAGGUGAAUGUGCAGUGGUAAUUCUCCAAAUCUUGCAGUGUUAGAGCUCAGGGGCACUGGGUGAAGCUGGUAAGCAAUUUAAAGGAGAUGCACAGUGUGGUGAAAUUGUGGAAUUUGGUCCAGUGGGGAAUUGUGGAAAGAGGUUUAAAAAGAGGUUAAAAACCUGCAUGCACAACUGAGCCAUAAAAAAAUGGAAGAAAUGGAUUUCAGUGUCCCUUGAUGUAACAGUUGGGGUUGCUGGAAAAACACAAAAGGUGUGCAUGAUAGGCUUAUGUCAUGUCCCUAAACACAACUUGAUGUUGCCAGUGGUGAAGGUAGUGUUAGAUGAAGCAUUGGUCAGACCUAGAAGUUUGUAUGUUCCAGUUAGGAGCAUGAGGAGUAACAAAAAGAGCAAGAAAAGGAUGAAAAACAAUAUUGAAUUAUACCAAGAAUUCCCUUCCUUGGGAUGUUGUGGUUCUGUAUGUUUUGUCAACAAACAUUUUGCUAGAAACGUGGCAGUUGCUUCAGAAUCACUGCUGUGCUGCGUAGCUGUGGCAGUGCUGGGGAAGGUCAGCUACGACUUGGGAAAUGCUGCUGCACAGAACAUGCUCUGCUAAACCAGCUGUUCAGAAGCACCGAGUCUCCUUGCUAAAGAACUUGUGAAGAAGCUUUCAAACUAGCUCGUAAGUGAUGUGGAGGAUCAAAAUAUAGUGCAGGUCCUCAUGCUGAAACCGCCAGUGGAUGCCAGAAUUUGCAGUGUGGUUUUCGGGCCUGCUGCCGCUCUGGCGAAUGACCGCUGACUUCUGAUCUUUCGGUCUACUUCAUUUAGCUGAGCAGGCUUCCUCUCAUGCACUUUACUUACAGUUCGCAUCUUGUGUUAACAAUCCUUGGAGUGAGACUUGUUAUACUAGCCUGACCCUGCCCACAACUUCAGAAUCUUAAUUAUGAGUGUACUGUACAGUGUUGUAACAAUCUCACAACCUCAUUUGGCUUGAAGGGUGUUGGGUUUUAUUUUACAUAAUUUGGGGAAGAUGGGAAAUUCUUCAGUUUUUUUCUUUUUAAUGCCACUUUAUUCCAAUUUUGGCACUUAAGUAUACUUUACUGCAUUAUUUUGUGUUAGGUGACUUCCUUUUUAUAAUUUUGAGUCCGUAAGUACAGUAUAAACCUCCGCAGAGAAUUUGAAUUUUAUUGUUUGCAUUUGGGUAAUAAUUACACAUCUUUAGGAGCCUGGUUUCUUGCCCUUUCCUCUCAUCCUGAAGUUGUUCUUUACAUUGCAAAAUUAGGGAAAUUGCCACCUUCCUUUUGCAUUUGGUUUUGUAUUUGGGCUUGAAAGACAUACUCAAAUAAAACAUUCCCACCAAUAAAAAAAUGUGUACAGCAGUUGAA